RNAcentral lists this ribosomal RNA (495 nucleotides) under uncultured bacterium. RNAcentral's name for it is "bacterial SSU rRNA". It matches the Rfam family "Bacterial small subunit ribosomal RNA", at positions 25 to 518 of the family's 1533-position model. The record is from RNAcentral.
CAGGAUGAACGCAGCGGCAGGCUUAACACAUGCAAGCGAGGGGCAGCGAGGAGUAGCAAUACUCUGUCGGCGACCGGCGAAAGGGUGAGUAACGCGUGAGCAACAUGCCCGUAGGUGAGGAUAGUCAUUGGAAACGAUGCGUAAUACUCCGUAACAACAGGGACCGCAUGAUCCUUGUUUAAUAGAUUCAUUGCCUACGGAUUGGCUCGCGUACCAUUAGGUAGUUGGUGAGGUAACGGCCCACCAAGCCGACGAUGGUUAGGGGUCUGAGAGGAAGGUCCCCCACAUUGGAACUGAGACACGGCCAGACUCCUACGGGAGGCAGCAGUGAGGAAUAUUGGUCAAUGGCCGAAAGGCUGAACCAGCCAUGCCGCGUGCGGGAAGACGGCCCUAUGGGGUUGUAAACCGCUUUUGUGUGGGAGCAAUAAGCAUCACGUGUGAUGCGAUGAGAGUACCAUACGAAUAAGCAUCGGCUAACUCCGUGCCAGCAGCUGC